Long non-coding RNA from Fukomys damarensis (Damara mole-rat), 300 nucleotides. RefSeq lists it as uncharacterized. Lineage: Eukaryota; Metazoa; Chordata; Mammalia; Rodentia; Bathyergidae. The record is from RefSeq and is a predicted model, not a curated record. The transcript has 3 exons.
CUGUCUUCAUUCUUCUUCAGUUUCAUUUCAGGAUCUAAAUCAGAGUCUCCAUUUAAUUCUCUCCAAGCUCUGCAGCCUCAGCUCUACCAUGGUGCACAGGCUUGGAACUUGGAAUCGUGACCAUCUCUCAGGCGAGCACUGUGCAGUAUGACACUCAGCUCCUGGUGAGCCACACAGUCACAGGAAGAAGCAACCCGAGCCUGCUAGGAGGUCAGGUCAGAUAGGUUAGAAGACAGAUGCUGAACACAUGAGGAGAAGGAUGAGGAAGGAUGAUCCACCCCAACCACACUAAUUCCAGAC